Molecule: unclassified non-coding RNA, 240 nt
Filed under: soil metagenome
Description: partial contains 5.8S ribosomal RNA, internal transcribed spacer 2, and large subunit ribosomal RNA
Source: RNAcentral
AAGACUAUAGACCUGCGGAGUACCUGCGGAGGGAUCAUUACCGAGUUCUCGCCCCUCGCGGGGUAGACCUCCCACCCACUGUGAUCACUACCGUCGUUGCUUUGGCGGGCCGCUGGGCCCAGCCCACCGCCGGCUCCGGCUGGCGCGUGCCCGCCAGAGGCCCUACAAACGCUGGAUAUCAGUGCCGUCUGAGUACACAUGUUAAUCGUUAAAACUUUUAACAAUGGAUCUCUAGAUCGG